RNAcentral lists this small RNA (104 nucleotides) under Halpernia frigidisoli. Its description in RNAcentral is "Flavo-1 RNA". It matches the Rfam family "Flavo-1 RNA". Lineage: Bacteria; Pseudomonadati; Bacteroidota; Flavobacteriia; Flavobacteriales; Weeksellaceae. The record is from Rfam by way of RNAcentral.
ACUGCGCCCCGACUUGAGUGGAAAUCCUUUUUGCUUAAAACAAUCUUUCGAUUUAUGAAAAUUUUUCAAAGCAAAAAGAUUGAGAACGGAAGGCGGAUAAAGGC